UACCUGCUCAUUCUAGCAAAUUUCUUACACUUCAGAGAAAACUAUUGAAGGCACUGCAGCUGGUAUAACAUCUGUCCUCGCUGCUUGCUUGGUUCUUGUUCCACUUUUGGCAUCCACUGGAUACAUUCUAGCUCAGCACUGGCUCCCUGUUUUAAUAGUUGUGACCACAAGCGGUCUGUUGGAGGCCUACACAACGCAACUUGAUAAUGCUUUCAUACCACUUGUCUUCUACAGCCUCCUUUGUUUGUAAAUGCACACUUCAACCUUCCAGAAAGCUUAAACAGAUGAGAAUUCCUUA
Hibiscus syriacus is the source of this 298-nucleotide long non-coding RNA. RefSeq lists it as uncharacterized. NCBI's taxonomy places the organism in Eukaryota, Viridiplantae, Streptophyta, Magnoliopsida, Malvales, Malvaceae. The record is from RefSeq and is a predicted model, not a curated record. The transcript has 2 exons.